ACUCUAUCAAGGUGGUGACAUUUAUACAGUUGUUUACAAAACAAUGUCCAUGUUUCCAGCGUUUUUGGUAUUUGAAUAAUUCGAAAAGUAAUACCGUUUCUAAACAAAUGUUAUUAAUUUUAUUUCUUGGUGACACGAUUUAAAUAAAGUGUGACCCUGAACCUUUAAGAUGAAAGAAUUUCUACGACAGGCCCCAAGCUGCCCUCGUCGCAGCAGAAGCUGCCCAUCUACACGGCCGAGACCCUGAGCAUCGCAGUCGCCACCUCCUGCCUCGCCGCGCUCGCCGUCGGCUUCGUGUCGGGCUUCCUGUUCUCGCGGCGUUGCCGUGGCGACCAGUACAACCAGAUGGCCUUCAACGACCAGCACCACCAGCUCAACAGUGUUUCAGUUACCCUUCCUCUAGAAGAGACCAUGGUGUUGGAAGAUAUCGAGAUGAAGACAUAGAAAAAGACGGCAUCCGAAUACAUUGGGACUUGCUAGCAGACAUGGGUCAUGUAAAGUUUUUCAGUACUUAAUUUUAUAGUUUUAUAGAAGCCAUGUGAAGGACAAGAAGACAGAAAACAGACAGGAUUGUGCCAGAGAGGGUGUUUCUAAUUAAUUUUAUUUGCAGAUUGGACAUCACGAUGCUGUGAGCUUACUUACUGAUUUUUUGAGUGUUUAUGAUUUUAAGCUUUUACUGUAGACUGCCAUUAUAAUUUUUUUUUAAUUUGGUGGAUACAGAUUUAAGGAGCUAGUUUUAAGUACUCAAUAUGGUUUUAGUUGUAAUUUAAUCACUAAUUCGAAAAUCAGUGUUUUUAGGUAUUUUUAUAAUUUCUGUUAAGAUUGCUACAGACAGGCUCAAUUUUGUUAUGUUUUUCCAUUAAGGGAUAGUGAUUGAAACAUGUGUUCAAGUUAAAAAUGUUAUGAUUAGUUUGAAGUCAAGUUUUUGUGGUAAAUGUUUAGUGGGUUGGCAUGAGUUAGGUUUGUUUUAUUUAUAAAACCAAAAGCAGAUUAACUUGUUUAUUUCAUUAGGAACUAUUUAUAACUUUUGGUCCAUUUUAAAAUUUCUUUGUGACAAUUAAGUAAAUUAAAAUGACAGAUAUAUUUACAUAUGUAUAUAAAAUUGACAAAUACUCAAUUUUGUUUUGAAUCUUUUUAUUUCUACUAAUAGGGAUUGAGGUUGGCUGCAUAAUUAAUUUUCUUAGGGCAUUAGUAAGUUGAAAGAUGAAAUAAGAAUAAUUUAUUUUUUCUUGAAAACCAUUUAAACAAAUAAGUUUUGUAUGCAGAUUUAGUUUGAUUUAAAGAAUUGGGUUAGGAAUGGUUGAAAUUUUGGGGGGUGGGAUUUAAACUGGCCAUUUCGUUUCCCCCUUCCUAUCGACCUUGGCUUACUGGAUGCUUCUACAUCCUAGAAGUGAACAUAGAAGAAGAGGGUUGGUGUGAAGUUGGAUCUCCCCCCCCCCCCCCCUUUACUUCCUCCUCCUCCCCAAUUAUAGGUGGACCUAGCUGGACAUGUUUUGGACCUGUGAAUGUUUUCGUCGUGAUUGGACUCUUUUAAAAGAGAGGGUGCUAUUGAUCUUUGUUUACAGUGGAAGAAGAGUAACUCUUCAGGAAGCCAGAGAGUGGUUUCCCCUGGACUUCCAGUUGUUUGUUAUUAUUGUCUCUCGUGGCUCCCGGGAGAGAUGCUGUUGGGUGGGUCAGGCAAAGAGGCCGUCAACCCAGUGGAAGAAUGGCAGGUGUUGUGAUGAUUAUGGUGGAUGAACUGUACCAGUUACUGAGUUGGAACCUUUCCUUAAGUUAGUCCAUUACUUCCAAGUCUAGGUAUUCUCCUGUGUAGGUUGUUUGAGGGUGACAAGUUGAUAAUUGCUUGUCCAAUUUAUUUUAUUUUCCCUUUACAUAUAAGAUUUUUAAGUUACUUGCUUCCAACUUCAAUAGUAGUAGCUGAGAUAUAAUGAAAGUAAUCUGGAGUCAUUUUAAAUGUUGUUAAUUUUUAAAAUUCAAUCUAAUAAUACAUACUUCGGAAAAUUUUUAAUAUUUUAAAACUAAGUAAACAUUAUAAAUGUUAAACUUAGUCCCAUUUUUAAAAAAUUGGUAGUUAUUUCAUGAAAGAUAGUUCAGUGAGGAGUAUCGUUUGUAGUUAUGACAAGAUGAUGAUGCAUUUUGAUGUUGUUCCAGUAAUCUGGCUGUGAUGGCGACUCGACUUCCGAAGCAGAGGUUGCAGAAGGUAUAAGCUGCCCUGGAGUCCUGUUCUGAAGAUGAAACCGGGAACUACACCUCAUGUUGACGGAGGGCGGACUGAACGUCGACGCAGCCUACCUGCCCCCCUGUGCCAACAACAAGGCGGCCAUCAACCUGGUCCUGAACGUGCCGCCAAAAAACGCCAACGGCAAGAACGCCAACUCUUCGGCCGAGAACAAGCCCAUCCAGAAGGUGAAGAAGACAUACAUUUAGCAGAAAUCCGCGGCUUUCCUAGCGCAGACCCGUUUCAUCCAUUUUACUGAGACUCUGCUGAAGAACGUCCUGAGGAAAGUGUAAAAACUGUGAGAUGAUUCGAUUCUGAUCGACUGCUUUUUAUGGGGAUGUCUUAGGAAAGCAAGCAAAUGUAUACAUAUUUAGACUUACGAAAAAGUUCUAAAAUAGAUGCUACAGUGAAGUGAUUAGCAGACAUGUGAUUGGGUGCAUUGGAGUCUUUUAGUGCUCUUAGAAAUGAAAGAAAACAAUAGUGUUACAAAGUGCUGUGCAAUGUCAGUUUGUUGGGUGAGAGAAGCAGACAUUUUUAAUUAUGUGCUAACUUUUAUUGUUGUGUCUAAACAUUUUUGAUGAUUUGCUUUUAAAUGCAGCACUGUUGCAAAGUAAAUUGGGGGUAAAUGCUUUCACUUAAAGCGGGGAAGUAUUGCAUUAAUACUAUAGGGAAAAUGUCGGUUCAAGUAAAAAAAAUGUUAAUCACAGGAAUUUGUAAAUCCCAAGUAUGAAAAUGAGGUUCUAUUGAAAUCUUAAUAUUGUGCACACGCUAUGUUUAUGUGAACUUUUACCCUUGUAUUUCACCACUGUACAUGCUGCAUGCCACCUGCGUAUUGCUGGUUUUAUUUCUUAUGUCACAGGUCACACACACCCAUAUUCCAGUAUUGUUUGUGCUGUAUGCUUUUUUAUUUCCCAAUCUGGCUUGUACAAAUUAUCUUGUUGAGCCCUCUCCAUCUUCAAAGCUAUGUUAUAAGUAUGAGAAGACUAAGAGAAGAAAUUAUUACAUACUUGUAUAUUACUGAUUAUGUGUAUGUAGCAAUCAGAUGUAUUGCAUUUUUAAUAUUAUGUUAAAAAUAUCUUUAUAAUGAUUCUGUGGAAGUUAAAUGCAGAAUUAUAGUGCCUUUUAGCAUUGUUUUUGGUUGUAUUGUGAGAAAAUCCUCUGUUAGGAAUACGGCAAAGAAGUAUGUAACACUGAAACUACAAAUAAAAAUCAUCCCAAAAUUUGCGAUGGAAUAAACAGCUCCCUUCAGAACCACAAAGCUGAUUGACAAAACUUUCUUGAAUCACCACUGUAGUACUUAACAUACACUAUUGUAUUUCGUUCAGUGAAGUGUAUUCUGCAAAUUCAUGUUCUUGUAAUGUGUUUAUCCGGAGUUAGUGGUAUUCAGCAGUUUGCAAACUAGUUAAGUUGGUCUGCUAAUGCAUGAUACUAUUACCAAAUUCUUGUUUUAAAGCUUAUUGAAAUAUGUUUUCAGUGAGAUAUAAAUUUUAUUCCUCAAAGAGCAAAACCAACUGAAUGUGACUGAAGCAAAAUUUCCAUAAUAAUCUUUGCCGAAUUUUUUUUUCUAAUUAGGUACAUAGCCUAUAUGUAAUUUGUCAUGACCAAUUAUCAUAAAAUUCAUACGUGUGCACGUGUUUGUGUGUGUGUGUUUGGUCUACUUUGAAUAUUUGAUAUGAGUAUUUUGUUUAUGUUGAAGGAUUUCAACUGUGUUUGUUGUCAGUUGGAGAGAAAUUUCUUGUCAUUGAACCACUUGUACUUUCAUAAAAAUACAUUUACAAUUCAAAGUU
Bacillus rossius redtenbacheri is the source of this 4005-nucleotide long non-coding RNA. RefSeq lists it as uncharacterized. Lineage: Eukaryota; Metazoa; Arthropoda; Insecta; Phasmatodea; Bacillidae. The transcript is spliced from 4 exons. The record is from RefSeq and is a predicted model, not a curated record.